AGGAAAUAGAUACCCUGGUAGUCCACGCUGUAAACGAUGGAUACUAGGUGUAACCGGUCUCGACCCCGGUUGUGCCGCAGCUAAACGCAUUAAGUAUCCCGCCUGGGGAGUAUGGCCGCAAGGUUGAAACUCAAAGGAAUUGACGGGGGCCCGCACAAGCGGUGGAGGAUGUGGUUUAAUUCGACGCAACGCGAAGAACCUUACCAAGGCUUGACAUCCACAGAACCUGCUAGAAAUAGUGGGGUGUCCGAAAGGAAACUGUGAGACAGGUGGUGCAUGGCUGUCGUCAGCUCGUGUCGUGAGAUGUUGGGUUAAGUCCCCGCAACGAGCGCAACCCUCGAUGUUAGUUACCAUCAUUAAGUUGGGGACUCUAACGUGACUGCCGGUGAUAAGCCGGAGGAAGGUGAGGACGACGUCAAGUCAUCAUGCCCCUUACGUCUUGGGCUACACACGUCCUACAAUGGCAUAGACAAAGGGCUGCAAGCUAGCGAUAGUGAGCGAAUCCCAUAAACUAUGUCUCAGUUCGGAUUGCAGG
RNAcentral lists this ribosomal RNA (535 nucleotides) under uncultured bacterium. RNAcentral describes it as "bacterial SSU rRNA". It matches the Rfam family "Bacterial small subunit ribosomal RNA", at positions 774 to 1304 of the family's 1533-position model. The record is from RNAcentral.